This 253-nucleotide ribosomal RNA is filed under the name uncultured bacterium. Its description in RNAcentral is "partial 16S ribosomal RNA". It matches the Rfam family "Bacterial small subunit ribosomal RNA", at positions 524 to 776 of the family's 1533-position model. The record is from RNAcentral.
UACGUAGGGUGCAAGCGUUGUCCGGAAUUAUUGGGCGUAAAGAGCUUGUAGGCGGUUUGUCGCGUCUGCUGUGAAAUUUCGGGGCUCAACCCCGAACUUGCAGUGGGUACGGGCAGACUAGAGUGUGGUAGGGGAGACUGGAAUUCCUGGUGUAGCGGUGAAAUGCGCAGAUAUCAGGAGGAACACCGAUGGCGAAGGCAGGUCUCUGGGCCACUACCGACGCUGAGAAGCGAAAGCAUGGGGAGCGAACAGG